Molecule: long non-coding RNA, 1441 nt
Organism: Apis mellifera (honey bee)
Lineage: Eukaryota; Metazoa; Arthropoda; Insecta; Hymenoptera; Apidae
Exons: 3
Source: RefSeq, a predicted model, not a curated record
UAAUUUCAUAUGAAUCAACGGAAACAUAAUUUUGCACAAUUGUAUUGCACAAUUUCAUGUAACAUCAUAAAAGUAUUGAAUAUUGGGAUAGAGCAAAAGAAUAAAAAUUGCAUAAUAAUUUUCUUAAACAGCGAAAAGAAAAUUUACCCUCUUAAUCUCUCACGUUUCACCGAAAAAUCCAAAUCCAAUUCGUUAAAAUUCAAACAAUUCUCAACAAUUCAUUCUAACAAAUUCAUUUAAUAAUUCGAGAUUAAAAUCACCUCUCCAUGUCCAAAAUCAUCGUGAUCGAUAAAAAUUCCCCAUGAAUUUUAAAAAUGGGGGGAAAACGGCGAUUCAAAAAGAGCGAGAAAUAAAAGGAAUGGGGGGGGAGGGGGAAUUUAAAUAGGCUUGGGUCGAGGCUUGUUGGCAUAAUCGAUAUCACGGUUGCAAGCCGGUGUGAUUAAUUAGCAGCGGAAACGUGGCGACGUGGAGGUCAAAGGUAAGACUUCCGGGGGGGAGGGGGGAAGCGGCGAAGGAAAGCCUCGUAGACGAUGCAGCGACUGUGGUUCAGGGCAGCGACCCAAUUCUCAUGUGUAUUUAUACCUAGAAGACGCUAUGCCGGCUGCGUGUGGCCAUUUUCGAGUGGGGAGAGGGAGAGAGAGAGACGCGGGGCGGGCCGAUGAAAGACAGGGAGGAAAGAGAACCGUCUCGUGCGUCACGAGACACGGCACGGUGUCUAAUGAAUUUGGAAAUUUAAUUCCGACCGAUUCGACCGGGGACAGCGCGGCAUGAAACCGGUUGGUCACUGAGUAAUUUCGACACCACGGGAUUAUUUAUAGACGAGCAAUAAGUAAUAAAGAAGAUUUUUAACCUUCCGUAGUUAGAUGCGUCUGGAGAGUGAUUCAAGUAAUCAGUUUGGGGGUUCCCAACUUGUAUUUAAAAUUGAGGGAGAUAUUUGGGUAAGGCAGUAGAUGGAGCUAUUAAAAUAUAUAUAUUUUCCUAGAUGCGUCUGGAGAGUGAUUCAAGUAAUCAGUUUGGGGGUUCCCAACUUGUAUUUAAAAUUGAGGGAGUUAUUUGGGUAGUAGACGGAGCUAUUAAAAUAUAUAUGUGUCUGGAGAGUGAUUCGAAUGAUUAGUUUUCUAACUUGGUCUAGGGAGUUCUAGAAUCGAGGGAGUUAUUGUUGGUUAGAUUGUUAAUAGAUGGCGCCAUUAAAAUAUGGAUAAUUUCAUUAGAAUAAUUAAUUUAGAAGUCUAGAGAAUUUUAAGCAAUUUUAGGAAGAUUAAUAUUUUUAUAAUUGGUAGAUGGUGAUAUUAAAAUAUAGAUAAGUUGAAUUUAAAUUGAAUUUUUAAUUUAUAAGCGAUCUAGGGAAUUUUAAUUUGUUACUAUUCGUAUAAAAUGAUGGUUAUGUUAAAGUAUGGAUAAGUUGAAUUUAAUUUAAAUGUUUAUAUAAUUUAUAAAUGAU